This 465-nucleotide long non-coding RNA is filed under the name Camarhynchus parvulus. RNAcentral describes it as "lncRNA (ENSCPVG00000001988.2)". The record is from RNAcentral. Lineage: Eukaryota; Metazoa; Chordata; Aves; Passeriformes; Thraupidae.
GUUUCCUUACAGUUCAUCCACACUCCAAAAAGAAAUUUGUUGAGACUCAGACAGGAGGAAGUCCUGCUUCUUUUCAUGUUUGUCAGGACUACAAAGUGGUCUUGGCCCUGGCAUGAGAAAGCUUGAAUUAUAUGGGAUUUUUGAUUCCCACAGCUUCAGUCACUGGUGGAGUCUCUGCUCUGCCCACACAGGGAAGGUUUUAACCCAAGAUCUAUAAUCCUGUGCCAUAGCGUCAGCCUCAGGAAACAGAUGCAACAGUUAAGCCACAGUCAUAGACAAGGAGGACCACCUGCUCUCAGGCAGCAAAGGGCAGCAGCCCUGCAGGGCUCUUCCACACCCUUAGAGCCCCUAAUUGUCCUCAGCUGGGCCUGCCUACUGCUAUUUAAGCUCCAGCUGAGGAGCAUCAUCUGUUAUUGCUUCUCCUGCUUGGCUGCUGGAGGAGUGGGGCUUCCUCUUCGAGGCUGA